RNAcentral lists this unclassified non-coding RNA (543 nucleotides) under Hevea brasiliensis (rubber tree). Lineage: Eukaryota; Viridiplantae; Streptophyta; Magnoliopsida; Malpighiales; Euphorbiaceae. The record is from RNAcentral.
CCAAUACAAGAUAGAUCCCUAAUCAAGCUAACAAGGCUAAAAAGCUAAGGUCCAUGCCCGCAUAAGCUAAACCGUAGGCCUAGAGUUAGGUUUGCACAGUGCCGCAUGCCACCAUCUCAUCCUCGUCGUUCCGUCUAUUAUGCCGAGAAAAACUUAGCCUCAAUGGGAGGCUAGAAAACUAAGGAGAUAACUGCCAGGAAGCCAUGCAAGGCUAAAAAUAACUAGAAUGAACAGAAAACUCCAUUUACCAAAGCACCGUCCAAGCUCCCGAAAAUUGAAGUUGGGAUCUAUAACCGAAAACUUUGGAGGAGGGGAUGAAAGAGUUUCUAACCUCUCUUAUAGUCAAAAGGAUCACUGGCUUAUGACAAGCAUAGAGCCCAAGAUACACCCACCAAGCAGAACAAAAGAAAACAUAAACACAAAGUAGAUUCAUACUUGCUUAGAAAACCACAGCCAGAAGGCUAUUUACAUCCCACCUGAUCGUGCGAAGGGUGACCCCAUAGCCAGGCAGGGAAGGAGUCUCCCCUGCCCAGUAAAAACAGG